CCAAUAGCGUAUAUUAAAGUUGUUGCAGUUAAAAAGCUCGUAGUUGAAUUUCGGGAUCAAGUCUUCGGUCGUGCUUCGGUACGUACUGGAGUCAUUGAUUUCUCCCUUCUGACGAACCAUGAUGUCAUUAACUUGGUGUUAUGGGAAAUCAGGACUGUUACUUUGAAAAAAUUAGAGUGUUUAAAGCAGGCUCACGCUUGAAUACAUUAGCAUGGAAUAAUGAAAUAGGACGUUCGAACCUAUUUUGUUGGUUUUUAGGAUCAACGUAAUGAUUAAUAGGGAUAGUUGGGGGCAUUAGUAUUCAAUUGUCAGAGGUGAAAUUCUUGGAUUUAUUGAAGACUAACUACUGCGAAAGCAUUUGCCAAGGAUGUUUUCAUUAAUCAAGAACGAAAGUUAGGGGAUCGAAGACGAUCAGAUACCGUCGUAGUCUUAACCAUAAACUAUGCCGACUAGGGAUCGGAUGAUGUUAAUUUUUUAAUGACUCAUUCGGCGCCUUACG
Molecule: ribosomal RNA, 499 nt
Filed under: uncultured Glomeromycotina
Lineage: Eukaryota; Fungi; Glomeromycota
Description: partial small subunit ribosomal RNA
Rfam family: Eukaryotic small subunit ribosomal RNA
Source: RNAcentral